This 254-nucleotide unclassified non-coding RNA is filed under the name Hevea brasiliensis (rubber tree). Lineage: Eukaryota; Viridiplantae; Streptophyta; Magnoliopsida; Malpighiales; Euphorbiaceae. The record is from RNAcentral.
GCGAAGGGAAAAUUCUUGAGGAUGGGAUUCUGAAGAGGUCUCUGGUUGAAUGGAGAUGUGUGCUCAAUGUUUUUAUGAAGUUGGUGGGAUCAGAGUGGCACUUUAUGCAGUCCAUUGAGAUUUUUGGUAGAGGAGGACCUGCUCCCGGGGUGGGACUUGGAUGGGGUGCCUCUGGUGGAGGAUUUUGGUCAAUGACUGUUUUGUUGGCUCAAACUGAUGCUAGAUUAAUAAUUUACAUGCUUGAAAUCAUCCAG